CCUACGGGUGGGCUGCAGUGGGGAAUUUUGGACAAUGGGGGCAACCCUGAUCCAGCCAUGCCGCGUGCGGGAAGAAGGCCUUCGGGUUGUAAACCGCUUUCGGCCGGAACGAAAUCGCCGGGGAGAACAUCCCCGGUGGAUGACGGUACCGGAAGAAGAAGCACCGGCUAACUACGUGCCAGCAGCCGCGGUAAUACGUAGGGUGCGAGCGGGAAUCGGAAUUACGGGGCGGAAAGGCUAAGCAGGCGGUGAAAUCCCCGGGCUUAACCUGGGAACUGCGUUUGUGACUGGCGGGCUGGAGUGCGGAAGAGGGAGGUGGAAUUCCACGUGUAGCAGUGAAAUGCGUAGAGAUGUGGAGGAACACCGAUGGCGAAGGCAGCCUCCUGGUCUAGCACUGACGCUCAUGCACGAAAGCGUGGGGAGCACACAGGAUUAGAUACCCUGGUAGUC
RNAcentral lists this ribosomal RNA (450 nucleotides) under uncultured bacterium. RNAcentral's name for it is "partial 16S ribosomal RNA". It matches the Rfam family "Bacterial small subunit ribosomal RNA", at positions 338 to 795 of the family's 1533-position model. The record is from RNAcentral.